Molecule: ribosomal RNA, 549 nt
Filed under: uncultured Glomus
Lineage: Eukaryota; Fungi; Glomeromycota; Glomeromycetes; Glomerales; Glomeraceae
Description: SSU rRNA
Rfam family: Eukaryotic small subunit ribosomal RNA
Source: RNAcentral
UUGGAGGGCAAGUCUGGUGCCAGCAGCCGCGGUAAUUCCAGCUCCAAUAGCGUAUAUUAAAGUUGUUGCAGUUAAGAAGCUCGUAGUUGAAUUUCGGGAUCAGUACGCCGGUCGUGCCUUCGGUAUGCACUGGUGUCACUGGUUUCUCCCUUCUGAAGAACCAUCAUGCCAUUCAGUUGGUGUGGCGGGGAAUCAGGACUGUUACUUUGAAAAAAUUAGAGUGUUUAAAGCAGGCUCGCGCUUGAAUACAUUAGCAUGGAAUUAUGAAAUAGGACGUUUGACCCUAUUUUGUUGGUUUCUAGGAUCGACGUAAUGAUUAAUAGGGAUAGUUGGGGGCAUUAGUAUUCAAUUGUCAGAGGUGAAAUUCUUGGAUUUAUUGAAGACUAACUACUGCGAAAGCAUUUGCCAAGGAUGUUUUCAUUAAUCAAGAACGAAAGUUAGGGGAUCGAAGACGAUCAGAUACCGUCGUAGUCUUAACCAUAAACUAUGCCGACUAGGGAUCGGAUGAUGUUAAUUUUUUAAUGACUCAUUCGGCACCUUACGGGAAAC